GACGAACGCUGGCGGCGUGCUUAACACAUGCAAGUCGAACGGAAAGGCCCUGCUUUUGUGGGGUGCUCGAGUGGCGAACGGGUGAGUAACACGUGAGUAACCUGCCCUUGACUUUGGGAUAACUUCAGGAAACUGGGGCUAAUACCGGAUAGGAGCUCCUGCUGCAUGGUGGGGGUUGGAAAGUUUCGGCGGUUGGGGAUGGACUCGCGGCUUAUCAGCUUGUUGGUGGGGUAGUGGCUUACCAAGGCUUUGACGGGUAGCCGGCCUGAGAGGGUGCCCGGCCAAAUGGGGACGGGGAUACGGCCCAAACCCCUAGGGGGGGCAGCAGGGGGGAAUAUGGCAAAAGGGGCGGAAGCCUGAUGCAGCAACGCCGGGGGGGGGAUGACGGCCUUCGGGUGGUAAACCGCUUUCGCCUGUGACGAAGCGGGGGUGACGGUAAUGGGGAAAGAAGCACCGGCUAACUACGU
Molecule: ribosomal RNA, 467 nt
Filed under: uncultured bacterium
Lineage: Bacteria
Description: partial 16S ribosomal RNA
Rfam family: Bacterial small subunit ribosomal RNA
Source: RNAcentral